Molecule: long non-coding RNA, 627 nt
Organism: Hydra vulgaris (swiftwater hydra)
Lineage: Eukaryota; Metazoa; Cnidaria; Hydrozoa; Anthoathecata; Hydridae
Source: RefSeq, a predicted model, not a curated record
UAACUUAAAAUUAUGACUUACAAAGAUCGCCAAAUAGCUGAAUCAGAAAUUCAGAACUUCAUAAAUGAGCUAGAAAACAGUGAAAAUGAAGAUUAUGAAGAUAAUAAGCGGCAUUAGUGUCUAUCAAAAGCGAUGUUACAAAAAGUCUAGAUUUUGAAGAGAUUCUGAAUCAAUUAAUGUAUGAAAAAUCAAGGAAAAAAAUAUACUAAUUUGGAUACAUAUUGUUGGCGACAUAGCUCAUGUAUUAAAGUCUUCUGUCACAGUUGACUCAGCAAGAAUGAAGACAUUGAUACACUUUUGCAUUAUGGAAUACACAAGGUGGCAGUUCCUUGCCCACUACCACCCAAAUACAGAUUUAAAAAAUCCCUAUCUGUACUUAACAGACGAUGGAGACGAAGUGAUUAUUAUGUGUGGCAAAAGAUUAUUUUAUGAAGUUUUUCAUUUUCUGACGUUAUGGAACUUAUUGGAAUACACUUGUCAUGGACAUGGGAGGAGUAUUGCCGCUACAAGCAUGAACAAUAAUAAAACAUUCCAAAGAACAAUUUGUUAUUUCAACGAUUAGAUUUGUUGUUUUAAUGUAUAAAUGUUUUUUUAAUAUUCUUAUUAUAUAUCAUCCUAAUUUCAAAA